RNAcentral lists this long non-coding RNA (374 nucleotides) under Elaeis guineensis (African oil palm). RNAcentral's name for it is "long non-coding RNA (EGUI_LNC024075)". The record is from RNAcentral. Lineage: Eukaryota; Viridiplantae; Streptophyta; Magnoliopsida; Arecales; Arecaceae.
AUAAUAUUUGGUAUAUAAUUUGGAAUACAAGUUAUUUUUAAAAAAAAAUUUCAUUCUUAUUUAUUGAUUAUUAUCUAUUUUUUAUUGAAAUAAUUUAAUUUCGAGAUCUAACUAUCUUAUAUGACAUCACCGAUCGGAAUUAUCCAUUAUAUAUUUUUUUUUAUUUUCACUAAUUGGGACUAUCCAUAACUUAUUUAAAAUUGAUUUUAAUUUAUUUUCAUAGAGAUAUUUUGAUCCCAAAAUUAUCUUGUUGUAAAAUUACAGAAUUACAAAAUUACAUAUAAUCACGUAGCCAUCUCUUCCUAGAUAAUCAGAUUACUUCUUUUUUAGAUAAUGCUGCAUUACAUAUAAUCAACAUUACUUGUGAAAGUGAC